GCUUUUUCCUUUUCCAGGUUGCUGAAGAAGUAAAUUUUGCUGCUAAUGGAAUAACUGUUGAAGGAAUUAAAGCUUUUGAUGGUAUUUUACAAUCAAACAUUUCUCUAAAGGUUCUUAACUUAUCAAGAAACAAUAUUGGGGAUGAAGGAGCUAAGGUUUUAUGUGAUAUACUGGUGGAUAAUAGUGGUAUUCAGAAGCUCCAGCUAAAUAGUACUAAUAUAGGUGAUGAGGGAGCAAAGGCCAUUGCUGAGUUGCUAAAGAAGAACUCAACCUUGAGGACAAUUGAACUCAACAACAAUUUGAUUGAUUAUUCUGUAAUUUUUUUCUUUUUCAUCUUAUUUUAUAAAAAAACUAAUAAAAUAUUUCUUACUUUUUAAUUGGCAUUGUUUACAUGGAUUCUCAGGUCUUGCUAAAGCACUUCUUGAAAAUAAACCGUUGAAUAGUUUAUAUCUAAAGUGAGCCAUCUUAAAAAUACAUUGCCAAUAUUGGUACUUGGUAGUGAUAAUAAAGUAUGUCGCUUGUUGUUCCCUGCAGUUAAUACUAUUUACUUUUAUUUUUAUAAUUACAGAGGACCCCAACCGGAUGAAGCAACCUCAGGGCCCUUUUGUCCACCUGACUGAUCAUUUUUAGACACUCCUCCCGUAUGGACACUAGGCCAUGAAAGCUGAAUA
Long non-coding RNA from Lactuca sativa (garden lettuce), 671 nucleotides. RefSeq lists it as uncharacterized. NCBI's taxonomy places the organism in Eukaryota, Viridiplantae, Streptophyta, Magnoliopsida, Asterales, Asteraceae. The record is from RefSeq and is a predicted model, not a curated record.